AAACCAGUCAGCCCUAAGUGCACACAGGAGAACCAUGGAGUUGGAGGAAAAGGUCCCAUACAGAGAGAAGAAACAGACAACCUGAAUCACAUUCAAAAGAGAGUCUCCACAAUAGUGAGGGCUGCAAAACCAGGUGACAUGAAAACCAAGAGAAUGAAUUACAUAGAUUUGUUUAACCUAAGGAAGAAAAGAUUCUGGACACGUGAGGGCCGAUUUUCAUUCCUCAG
RNAcentral lists this long non-coding RNA (227 nucleotides) under Homo sapiens (human). RNAcentral describes it as "HSALNT0349789". Lineage: Eukaryota; Metazoa; Chordata; Mammalia; Primates; Hominidae. The record is from RNAcentral.